AUUGAACGCUGGCGGCAGGCCUAACACAUGCGAGUCGAGCGGAUGAAGGGAGCUUGCUCCUGGAUUCAGCGGCGGACGGGUGAGUAAUGCCUAGGAAUCUGCCUGGUAGUGGGGGAUAACGUCCGGAAACGGGCGCUAAUACCGCAUACGUCCUGAGGGAGAAAGUGGGGGAUCUUCGGACCUCACGCUAUCAGAUGAGCCUAGGUCGGAUUAGCCAGUUGGUGGGGUAAAGGCCUACCAAGGCGACGAUCCGUAACUGGUCUGAGAGGAUGAUCAGUCACACUGGAACUGAGACACGGUCCAGACUCCUACGGGAGGCAGCAGUGGGGAAUAUUGGACAAUGGGCGAAAGCCUGAUCCAGCCAUGCCGCGUGUGUGAAGAAGGUCUUCGGAUUGUAAAGCACUUUAAGUUGGGAGGAAGGGCAGUAAGUUAAUACCUUGCUGUUUUGACGUUACCAACAGAAUAAGCACCGGCUAACUUCGUG
Molecule: ribosomal RNA, 484 nt
Filed under: uncultured bacterium
Lineage: Bacteria
Description: partial 16S ribosomal RNA
Rfam family: Bacterial small subunit ribosomal RNA
Source: RNAcentral